AUUGAACGCUGGCGGCAGGCUUAACACAUGCAAGUCGAGCGGGGUGAUGGUGCUUGCACUAUCACUUAGCGGCGGACGGGUGAGUAAUGCUUAGGAAUCUGCCUAUUAGUGGGGGACAACAUCUCGAAAGGGAUGCUAAUACCGCAUACGUCCUACGGGAGAAAGCAGGGGAUCACUUGUGACCUUGCGCUAAUAGAUGAGCCUAAGUCGGAUUAGCUAGUUGGUGGGGUAAAGGCCUACCAAGGCGACGAUCUGUAGCGGGUCUGAGAGGAUGAUCCGCCACACUGGGACUGAGACACGGCUCAGACUCCUACGGGAGGCAGCAGUGGGGAAUAUUGGACAAUGGGGGGAACCCUGAUCCAGCCAUGCCGCGUGUGUGAAGAAGGCCUUAUGGUUGUAAAGCACUUUAAGCGAGGAGGAGGCUCUUUUGGUUAAUACCCAAGAUGAGUGGACGUUACUCGCAGAAGAAGCACCGGCUAACUCUGUGCCAGCAGCCGCCGUAA
This 503-nucleotide ribosomal RNA is filed under the name uncultured bacterium. RNAcentral's name for it is "partial 16S ribosomal RNA". It matches the Rfam family "Bacterial small subunit ribosomal RNA", at positions 30 to 523 of the family's 1533-position model. The record is from RNAcentral.